Long non-coding RNA from Malus domestica (apple), 625 nucleotides. RefSeq lists it as uncharacterized. NCBI's taxonomy places the organism in Eukaryota, Viridiplantae, Streptophyta, Magnoliopsida, Rosales, Rosaceae. The record is from RefSeq and is a predicted model, not a curated record.
AUUUUGUUGACUAAUACUCGGGCACGUUCUGCACGUUUCAGGUUCUUGUGUGCACCUCUGCUGACUGAGUACCGGUUCUCGUCCUAAAAGACAUGUUUGAUUAGUAAAAGUGAAGUCUAUGUGUGUACUUAUAAAGGGUUAGGCUUCCUGGAUCUGAUACUUCUGCUGAUGAAAGUGAUAAUAAGCCAGUAACAUGGGAAAACGAUUGACGAUCUUUGUAGGGUGUGUCCAUGAGAUCCCACAAGUUUGUCAAUGCUUUGCCAAGAUGGUGAAGCUGAAAAUGUAUAUGCAGAAAUAAUCAUACUGAUGCCUUAUGUAACCAAAAUUUUCUGAAUUUGCCCUUGUACUGCUCGGAACUUAUUCACCCUAUCUUCUUUCCUCAAUCUCAUCUCCCUCAAUGCCGGCGUGAGUGAAUCCAACUGUUCUUUCAGUGUUCCCACCAUUUUUUCUGGCUGAUGAGAUGAUAAAAAAAUCAGCCCAAGAAAGGAUUGAUGGAUAAUGUACCCGUCCAGGGAGAGACCGUUCGCCAAGGGACAGAAGAAGAUGGGUAAAUUCAGCCUCCGCUUCAGCCAACUCCUGGUGCAGUCGAGCUCUCGAGGUAUUCGCAGUAUCAACCUUCUUCCUA